Molecule: long non-coding RNA, 3897 nt
Organism: Manis pentadactyla (Chinese pangolin)
Lineage: Eukaryota; Metazoa; Chordata; Mammalia; Pholidota; Manidae
Exons: 3
Source: RefSeq, a predicted model, not a curated record
AAAACUCUUUCUUUAUCCUUGAUCUUUGCCAUUAUACUUAUUAUGUGUCUUGGUGUUGUCCUCCUUGGAUCCUUUCUGUUGGGGGUUCUGUGUAUUUCCGUGGUCUGUUCGAUUAUUUCCUCCCCCAGUUUGGGGAAGUUUUCAGCAAUUAAAUUAUUUCUUGUAAGAUACUUUCCGUCUCUUUUCCUCUCUCUUCUUCUUCUGGAACCCCUAUAAUACGGGUAUUGUUCCGUUUGGAUUGGUCACACAGUUCUCUUAACAUUGUUUCAUUCCUGGAGAUCCUUUUAUUUCUCUCUAUGUCAGCUUCUAUGCGUUCCUGUUCUCUGGUUUCAGUUCCAUCAGUGGCCUCUUGCAUCCUAUCCAUUCUGCUUAUAAACCCUUCCAGAGUUUGUUUCAGUUCUGUAAUCUCCUUUCUGGCAUCUGUGAUCUCCCUCCAGACUUCAUCCCAUUUCUCUUGCGUAUUUCUCUGCAUCUCUGUCAGCACGUUUAUGAUUCUUAUUUUCAUUUCUUUGUCAGGAAGACUGCUUAGGUAUGUCUCCUUCUAUGGUGUGGUCUCUGUGUUCUUUGUCUGCCUGUAGCUUUGCCUUUUCAUGGUGAUAGGAAUAGUUUACAGAGCUGGGACGAGUGACGGCUGGAAGAACUUCCCUUCUUGUUGGUUUGUCGCCCUCCUCUCCUGGGAGAACAGCGACCUCUAGUGGCUUGUGCUGGGCAGCUGGGCGCAGACAAGGCCUCUGCUUCCUUCCGGGCUGCUAUGGAGUUUAUCUCCACUGUUGCUGUGGGCGUGGCCUGGCUCAGGCCUCUGCUCCAAAGUGGUGGAAUUGCGUUGGAGGGGGAGCGGCUGGGAGGCUGUUUAUCUCCAUACGGGGCCUCCCUUCUCCCUGCAGCCCAGGGGUUAGGGUGUCUAGAGAUCCCCCGAUUCCCUACCUCUGGAUUAAGUGUCCUGCCCUGCCCCUUUAAUACUUCCAAAAAGCACCCGCCAAAACAAAACAACGACCACACACACACACAAAAAAAAUUAUAUUUAAAAAAAAAAUUUUCUUUUUAAUUAAAAAAUAAAUAAAUAAAAGGUGGCUGCUCGUUUUUCUUUAUUCUUCGGCGCCAGCCUCAGGCAUCUGCUCACCAGUCUUGCUGCCCUGUUUCCCUAGUAUUGGGGUCCAUAUCCCUUUAAGACUUCCAAAAAGCGCUCACCAAAACAAAACAGCAAAAAAGCAAAAAAAAAAAAAAAAAAAAAAGUGGUCGCACGCUUUUCUUAUGUCCUCCGGCUCCCGGCGUACGGUGCCCGCUCACUGUUAUUGCUGCCCUGUUUUCCUAGUAUCCAGGGCCCUGCACUCUGGCCCGGAUGGCGGGGGCUGGGUGUUCGGCAGUCCUGUGCUCCGUCUCCCUCCCGCUCUGCCUAUUCUUCUCCCGCCGGGAGCUGGGGGGAUGGGUGCUCGGCUCCCGCCGGGCCGGGGCUUGUAUCUUACCCCCUUCACGAGGCGCUGGGUUCUCUCAGGUGCGGAUGUGGUCUGGAUAUUGUCCUGUGUCCUCUGGUCUUUAUUCUAGGAAGGGUUGUCUUUGUUAUAUUUUCAUAGAUAUAUGUGCUUUUGGGAGGAGAUUUCCGCUGCUCUACUCACGCCGCCAUCUUCCGCCCCUCUCUGAUACACACUCUUAUGAAGGUUUCACAUGAAAACAGUGUGUUUACUAUAUUCACCCAUGUUAUCGAGUCCCCACCCCAUAGCCCAUUGCAGUCACUGUCCAUCAGUGUAAUAAGGUGCCACAGGGUGACUAGUGUUCUCUCUGCUACAUCUGGCUUCUCUGUGACCCCCCCACACCACAUGUACUAAUCAUAAUACCCCUUAAUCUCCUUCUCCCUCCUUUCCCGCACUCCCCUCUGAUAACCACUAGUCCCUUCUUGGGUUCUGUGAGUCUGCUGCUGUUUUGUUCUUUCAGUUUUGCUUUGUUGUUAUACUCCACAAAUGAGGGAAAUCAUUUGGUAUUUGUCUUUCUCUGCCUGACUUAUUUCACUGAGUAUGAUACCCUCUAGCUCCAUCCAUGUUGUAGCAAAUGGUAGGAUUUGUUUCUUUCUUAUGGCUGAAUAGUAUUCCAUUGUGUAUAUGUACCACAUCUUCUUUAGCCAUUCAUCCGCUGAUGGACACUUAGGUCGCUUCCAUAUCUUGGCUAUUGUAAAUAGUGCUGCAAUAAACAUUGGGGUGCAUUUGUCUUUUUGUAUCUGAGAACUUGUCAUCUUUGGGUGAAUUCCUAUGAGUGGAAUUCCCGGGUCAAAUGGUAGUUCUAUUUUUAGUUUUUUGAGGAACCUCCAUACUGCUUUCCACAAUGGUUGAACUAAUUUACAUUCCCACCAGCAGUGUAGGAGGGUUCCCCUUUCUCCACAUCCUCUGCAGCACUUGUUGUUCCUUGUCUUUUGGAUGUUGGCCAUCCUAACCGUUGUGAGGUGAAAGCUCUUUGUGGUUUUAGUUUUCAUUUCCCUGAUAAUUAGUGAUAUGGAGCAUCUUUUCAUGUGCCUGUUGGCUAUCUGAAUUUCUUCUUCGGAGAAGUGUCUGUUCAUAUCCUCGGCCCAUUUUUUAAUCGGAUUAUUUGCUUUUUGGAUGUUGAGGCUUGUGAGUUCUUUAUACAGUUUGGAUGUUAACCCCUUGUUGUAAGUCGUUUACAAAUAUAUUCUCCCAUACUGUAAGAUGCCCUUUUGUUCUACUGAUGGUGUCCUUUGCUGUACAGAAGAUUUUUAGCUUGAUGUAGUCCCAUUUUUAAUUUUGGCUUUUGUUCCCUUUGCCUGAGAAGAUGUGUUCAGGAAAAUGUUGCUCAUAUUUAUAUUCAAGAGAUUUUUACCUAUGUUUUUUUCUGUGAGUUUAUGCUUCAUGACUUACAUUCAGGUCUUUGAUCCAUUUCAAGUUUACUUUUGUGUAUCCAGUUAGAUAAUAAUUCAGUUUCAUUCUCUUACAUGUAGGUGUCCAGUUUUGCCAACACCAUCUGUUGACUGGGGUGUCAUUUCCCCAUUGUAUAUCCAUGUCUCCUUUAUUGUAUAUUAAUUGGCCAUAUAUGUGUGGGUUUAUAUCUGGGCUCUCUGUUCUGUUCCUUUGAUCUAUUGGAUCUUCUCCUGUGCCAGUACCAAAUCGUUUUGAUUAAAAUGACUUUGUAGAAGAGCUUCAAGUUAUGGAGCAUAAUCCACCCAGCUUGAAGUGAUAAGAAGUGUGGGAUUGGGUGAAGAAGCCAGGAGCAGCAGCACAUUUUGGGAAGGAGGAAUUGCAUGUCCAGAUACAUAGGCGUGAGAGAGCAUAUGGCAGGUUUGCAUAGUACCCAGUCACUUGGUGAGGCUGGAGCCGGGGUGCUCUGCUGGUCAUUAGGUAUGCUUAGGAAUACCCCAUCUCUGUUUGUCUCUGGGCACGUGGCAACUUUGAACUUCCCAUCAGGCUUGAGGAUGUGGCCAGUGAAAGUAAGCAGAGGGGAUGUCUGUUACUUCCAGGUGGAAGAUUUAAAAGCUGAUGCCUGUUGUUUUGCUACUUCCUGUAUUCUUUUGGCUACUAGCAAUGUUCCGGAGGGUGGUUGCUUUGUCUGCUUGUGUUCUGGAAUGAGACCAGUGGUGAUGGAGGCAGAGCCACCAGCUGACCUGCAAAGGACAUGGGGAUAAACAAGACGUAAACCUCUGUUUACCCAGCACAGUGCCUGUCUGCCUGGAAGGCUCUGCACCGGUGUUUGCUGAGUUGAAUUGAAUUGACGUGAAAAACACAUCAGUGAGUGCCUCUGAGAGUCAGCCCAGGUGAGAAUAAGACAUUUCAAAAAAUGAAAAGAAAAAACACCUGAGUUCCUGUACAGAAACCUUUCCAGAGCGAGGAUGUGCACAGCAGGGGCUCUGUGGGAGUGUGGUUCAGAGAGUUGCACGACAGCCGUGUGCCAACACCACCA